UUUUUUUUUACCGCAAGAAAUUACAAGAAAUCGCUUUUUGGUGUCGUAAAAUCUAAAAUUGUGUGACAAAAAGUGUUGCGUAAGGUUUCUGUGUUCAAUCGACACGAUCACAUGGAGCUUCUGACAGAAAAGUCAAUGUCAGAAAUGCAAAUGCCGCAUUUACAUAAUCUCCUUUGUCCAUGGAGCCCUGGUUCUACUUCGAGUCUCUUGUGGACGUCGGAACUUGUGACCACAGAUUUCAGCACCUGAAGUCGGACAGCGUGCUCGUGCUUCCUCUUCAUGUCGUUGAUGUGCCACGCCACUCUCUGCAUGGUGUCGAUGGCCUCCUGCACCACCUCGAACGUCUCUGUGUCCUUCUCCAUGUGGUUGGCGAUCUCCUGCACACAUCACACGUAAAGCUCCUCCUCAAAAAGUGAUCCCUGCAACUAACCAGUAGCAAAGAAAACUGUGGUUUCAUCCUGCUCCUCUCCUCCAUGGCUGCCAUCCCUAUUGUCAUCUCCUUCACGCCUCAGCUCCUACAAGUGACCUCUCGGCAGGGUCGGCUUCCAGCAGCAGGUGAAAGAUCGUGACCUCCGGCACAAAGACCUGCUGCCCUCCUCAUCUCUGCAGCCUCCAGCACGGAUUUGGAAAACAAGGACGGAUCGAAUCUCUCAACAAGUUGAUCUGUAAGAGGAUUUAAGAAACACAGAGGAAAUAAGGAAUUGUGAUGACUGAAAGUCAGUCUAGAAUUUAAGCUGCUUGAGCAGAGCCUGUUUAAUUUGUUGGAACCGAGUGAAAAGUAUUUCCAACAUUCAUGUUAUUCCGUAAGACUUAAUUUACCCACCGCAGCAGUAAAUACACCGUCAUGAAGCCAGAACACGGCGACAGCUCGACUAUAGAGAACUCAGCCGUAAACGCUGGACCACAAUGGCUUUACGAGCCGAGCGGAAGACAGUAAAUCAGCGUACACCCUUCUACUGACAGUAGAGGAGGCGAGUCGGUUUGAUGUGAGGCGGUUUACUGUUACAGGGCGUCGCACCGCCGAGGAGGCGGGUGUGGUGGGAAGGUGCUGAGGUCAUGUGAUCUCAAGUUACUUUCACAUGAGAUAUCAAAUUGGGUGGAAAACCUGCUGUGUGGUGAGAAAUGUUAUCACACCGAAACAACUGAGUCAACAUUUAGUCACGUUGUCUGGCGUCCGUGCAGCGAUAAAGUGGGCGCCGUGAGCUCAAAAUCAUAACAGUGACACUUUUCCUAUGCCAUUGUUCCUGCUUUUUUCUUCCUCCAUCACGUCUCAUCUUUGGUGGAGUUUUUAAUUUUGUGGUCUCUCUCUUAAUUCUUAUUUGAAUUUUGUAUUGAGUCAGCCUAACACUCUUCCGUCGGCUAUUUAAAACGUCCUUCAUUUUCAUUUGACUCAGUUUGCUAAGCUGAGUUCUGACCUGCCGUGGUUCGUCUCAGACUAGGCCCAUUUAUUCUCAACAUUUCGUACGGACCUCGGUCCGGACGUAGCCUUCUGCCUGUACUCUGCGAUCAUUUUGUUUGUAUUUCUGCAUGUUUCCACAAAGCUUAUGGAUGCGGACCAAACGGAGCAAUACCACUGGAAACCAUGAGGGGCAGUGUUGCUGACACAAAGAACACAUAACAAUAACGGAAAUUCUCCAUCCUCCAGUGGCGAUAUAUUUAACUGCCUCACUGACUGCCUCCGACAAUGCUGCCUCAGGUUUCUCUUUUGUGGAGGUAGAGGCACAUCAUCAAUACUUCUUCCACGGACGUUUGUUUUGUUUGUUUGUUGUUGUCCUAACUUGUGUUUCAGUAACAGUGUAUACUUCUAAAUUAUAGAACUUACUUUUUGCUCCUUGCAAAACAAGCCCUGAAGUCAUAUCUGUUUUUGUGACGAAAUACUGGAUUGAAGACGCACAUCCAAGCUCACGGGGAAUGCUAUCACCUCAGGUAGCAAGAUGACGGUUACUUCAAAAAUCUCUUCUUCUGAAUUAUGUAACUUUUUUAAAAUGUCGAGGUGCAAAUUUUCUGGCGUCGCUCCCUUGUCAGCGAGGAAUCCACAGCUGAUACUGACGCUGAACCGAAGUUACCUUUGGGUCUGGCAGCGAGGCGGGAAAUGAUUUAGUGUGAAAAUGAUGAACUUCCAUCU
Molecule: long non-coding RNA, 2125 nt
Organism: Synchiropus splendidus (mandarinfish)
Lineage: Eukaryota; Metazoa; Chordata; Actinopteri; Syngnathiformes; Callionymidae
Exons: 4
Source: RefSeq, a predicted model, not a curated record